GAGACUGAAACAAUGGGUACUGGUGGUCGGACGAACGCAACCCCACAGAAGGUGGGUCCGGACCCUCUGAAAAGGGUCCCGCACACGAAGCCCCCGUUCUCCCUGAGCGAGAUCAAGAAGGCCAUCCCCCCGCACUGCUUCGACCGCUCGAUAGUCCGCUCCUUCUCCUACGUCCUCUACGACCUGGCCAUCAUCUUCGGGCUCUACUUCGUGGCCUCGACCAUCAUCCCCACCCUCCCGGCCCCGCUCCGCUACGUCGCCUGGCCCGCCUACUGGAUCGUCCAGGGAUGCGUCAUGACCGGCGUCUGGGUCCUGGCCCACGAGUGCGGGCACCACGCCUUCAGCGACUACCAGUGGCUCGACGACACCGUCGGCUUCGUCCUCCACUCGGCGCUCCUCGUGCCGUACUUCUCGUGGAAGUACUCGCACGCCCGGCACCACUCCAACACGGCCUCCCUGGAGCGGGACGAGGUCUUCGUGCCCAAGAAGAAGGACGGCAUCAGCUGGUACGCCAAGUACUUCAACAACCCCCCCGGCAGGAUCGUCCUCCUCCUGGUCACACUCACGCUCGGAUGGCCGCUCUACCUCGCCUUCAAUGUUUCCGGAAGGCCUUACGACCGAUUCGCCAACCACUUCGAUCCGCAAAGUCCGAUCUACUCUGAGCGCAAGCGAAACCAAAUCAUCAUGUCAGACUUGGGUAUCCUGGCCGUUUCUUACAUCAUUUACCGGUCGGUCAUGGCGUACGGGCUGGCCCAUGUGAUGUGUAUCUACGGGGUGCCACUCCUGAUCGUCAACGGGUUCUUGGUCUCCAUCACGUUCCUGCAGCACACGCACCCCUCGCUGCCCCACUACGACUCGUCCGAGUGGGACUGGUUCCGAGGUGCCCUCGCCACGGUCGACAGGGACUACGGCAUCCUCAACCACGUGUUCCAUCAUAUCACCGACACGCACGUAGCCCACCACCUCUUCUCCACGAUGCCUCAUUACCACGCCAUGGAAGCAACGCAGGCCAUCAAACCUCUCCUGGGAGAAUACUAUCAGUUCGACGGAACACCCAUCUACAAAGCCAUGUACAGGGAGACCAGAGAGUGCGUCUUCGUCGAGCGGGACGAGAAGGACCACACCAAAGGUGUCUUCUGGUACAGCAACAAGAUUUGAUGAUGAUUCCUCAAAGACGACCCCUCCACCACAACGAUUGUAUCGAUAGGUAGCCUUCGUUUCAGUCCUAGUGACUGGAUGUCAGUGGCGCGGCGUGCUUUGCCGAUAUAUCGAUUGAUCUGCCAUUUGAACCUAUGGGAAAAGAUCGAUAAACAAGGUUUACCUUAAUUUUCGAUCUUUGAUCAUAGCUUCGAAUGGGGAAAUAUCGAUAAUCGGUCUCGCGCUGCGCCACUGCUGGAUGUAACGAUCACCGGGCCCAGUUUUCGGAUCUUCUCGAGAUAAUUGUGUUUUAUCAGGGACUACUUACCGCGGGGAUGGAUUGAAAAAUAGUCAUGAGCG
Molecule: long non-coding RNA, 1497 nt
Filed under: Bemisia tabaci
Lineage: Eukaryota; Metazoa; Arthropoda; Insecta; Hemiptera; Aleyrodidae
Description: lncRNA ENSSSA1UGG013484
Source: RNAcentral